AGCCGAUGCUUAUUCCUCAGAUACCGUCAAAAUUCUUCUCUGAGAAAAGAAGUUUACAACCCAUAGGCCUUAAUCCUUCACGCGGUAUUGCUCCGUCAGGCUUGCGCCCAUUGCGGAAAAUUCCUCA
RNAcentral lists this ribosomal RNA (127 nucleotides) under uncultured bacterium. RNAcentral's name for it is "partial 16S ribosomal RNA". The record is from RNAcentral.